AGCGCAUCGAGGGAGCCCGCUCAAGCUGAAGCGCUGCACGAGCUGUGUCUUCCUUCUCUCCGCCGCCAAUGCGGGCAGGAUGCGAGCAAAAGACCCGGCAAAGAGGGCGCCGAGGGGGCGCAGCCGGGGCGCUGGGCGGACCCAGAGGGGACAUGGAGAGGAACGCGGAAGGUGCCCUCUGCGGUGGGCAUUACUAUUUCCACCAUCCUCAUGAUGGAUCUGGAAUCCACGGGGGUCCCCUGCCCAGGAUCGUGCAGCCUGUGGAAGGCAGCAGGCGCCGGGAUGCCGAAUGGAUUGAAUGAGCUUCUCGGGGAUUCCCUGAGCUUGGUGAACGGAGAGCCCACCCUGACGGUCAGGCCUAACCCCACCGCCAAUAACAGAGCAGCCCUAGGUGGAAGUGGGCUGCCUGUGCCUGGCACUGGGAGCGGCAGAGGCGGCUGCCGCUGUGGAAGUAGCGCCCGCAGUGCCAAGCUCCUGUGCCUGGGAGGACGCGGGCACUGGGCGACCUGCAGUCGGGGCUGCCCCCAGGCAGGGCUCCCGGGCUUUCUCACAGCGCGGCUCGCGGGAAACGACGCUGCCCUAUGGCACAGUGAAGUAAGGCGAUGGCUGCUCUCAGCCAGAGGCGGGGCUGGGGGAGGGGGCCAGAGAUGCCCCGGGAGCCCCUGGACCCUCUGGAGGGUCGGGUGGGGGAGGGGAGAUCUCUGUCUUGACCACGCACUUGUAACCCAUUCUUGGCACACCGGGAUACCUUGCCUGCAGGUAGUGCUCUGCUCUCGGGGAGAGGGCACAACCUCUAAUCCUCUGACCGAGGCUCUCUGCCUCUCACAAGAAGCCCCCAACACACUGGUUUUCCUCACAGCCUGCCCCAACUGCUCAUCGGAACCUGCAGCCCCCUUCCCUGCCCCAAAUGUCCCUCUGCGGAUCCCAUUACCCUACUUUCUGUCGAGCCCAACUGCCCUAUCCUUUAUACAGGCUGUCGGGGGCAAUGGUGGUGAGCAUGGGCUAUGGAGUCAGAUUGCCUGGGUUCAAAUCAUGGCUCUGCCAUCUUCUGACUGUGUGACCUUGGGCCAGUUUCUUUAUUUCUGUGCCUCAGUUUUCUCAUCUGUAAAAUUGACGGGAUGGUGGCAUCUGUCUCAUAGAGUGGCUGUGAGGGUAACGGGCACACUGCCACAGGCACGAUGAACGUCAGCUCUUGUUGCCAACCUCCCCCCACAACACACACAGCUUAGUAACUCUACCCUCACCCAACACAUAACACCUAGCUUGUCCCUCAUAAUGAGCUCUCAGCCUAAAUCAGUGCCCUCAGCAAACCUGUGGCGCAGGGCACGUGUUAGGGUAGACAAGAUCCUGGGGAAGACUCACUGACUCCACCGAAGCACUGGCUGCAGCUGGGAUUGGCCCAGACAUUUAAGAGCCGAGGACUAAGCAAUGCCUGCAUUGCCUGCUAUGUGCAUAUGUCGAGCAGGACGGCAGUGUCAGGCCACUGGCCAGUGGGGACCAGCCUCUGAGCUGGUCAUCCGAACACCCUAGGAAAGAGUCCACCCCGUCCUACAUGUUCUAUCACUGCUUGGCCUAGCUAAGCCAAGCACCUGGGCCCAAGCCCCACCGUGGAGAUGGUGGCUGGAGCAGUGUCCAAGGUCACAGAUGGAGGAAUGCGACCUCCAGCCCAAUCUCGACUCUGCUCUUUGCCAGUUCAGUCUUGCCCAAGUCACUUGGGUUCUCCAAGCCUAUGAUCUCCUCUUUAAAAUGGAAGGGAGAGCUGGGCAUGGCGGUUCAUGCCUGUAAUCCCAGUACUUUGGGAGGCUGAGACGGGAGGAUUACAUGAGGCCAGGAAUUCAAGACCAGCCUGAGUAACAUGAUGAGACCCCUAUCUCUACAAAAAAAAACAAAAAACAAAAAACAAAAACACUUUCUUUUUUUUGUUUGUUUGUUUUUGUUUUUGUUUUUAAUUAGCAGGGCAUGAUGGUGUGUUUCUGUAGUCCCAGCUACUCGGGAGGCUGAGGCGGGAGGAUCAGUUGAGCCCAGGAGUUCAAGACCAGCCUGGACAACACAGCAGACCCCAUCUUUAUAAAAUAAAUUCAGUAAAAUGG
RNAcentral lists this non-coding RNA (2090 nucleotides) under Pan troglodytes (chimpanzee). Lineage: Eukaryota; Metazoa; Chordata; Mammalia; Primates; Hominidae. The record is from RNAcentral.